RNAcentral lists this long non-coding RNA (850 nucleotides) under Cavia porcellus (domestic guinea pig). Its description in RNAcentral is "lncRNA (ENSCPOG00000036461.1)". The record is from RNAcentral. Lineage: Eukaryota; Metazoa; Chordata; Mammalia; Rodentia; Caviidae.
GCAGCACACUCUGUAAACAACAGUGGAGUACAGGAAGAGGAAACCCCUAGCAUAGAAUUUGACACAAAUCAGGCAUCCAGCAAAUGGGAGCAGAGUAAAUGUCAUCCUCAAAGACACCUUUCAGCAUGGAAUCGUGAUAUACCAUUUAACAGCGUGUGCCUGACAAACUACCCACAGAUGCUGUCCUUGGUGCUGCUCUGCCCCCACACUCUUCAAGGUCUCAGUUAAAGAUGUGAAACGCUUUGCUUCUCGAAUUGGAAGGUCAUCCAUGCAAUGCCAACCUGGAGGAUAACUACACUGUUGGAUGCUAGAGUGUAAAACUACAAUGAUAUCUGUAGGUUGGAAAUACUUGCCAAACUUCAAAGAGCUGUUUUGAUUUUUAAUAGAGAUAGCUUCAUUUUCCACCUAAUGUAAGUUUCCUGGCAUUUUAACUCCUCACAUGAUCAGUGGGUGAGGUAGUUUUCCAGGUACUAUAGGCUCAGUUUGUACCAGGGUAAAAGCUGGAGAAUUGCAUUGGUAAUGGAAGAUUGGCCUGCAGGACUGCAGGAGCAAAGCGCUGCCUGCCACCUUUUGAUAAUUCAUAGUGUGAUCACAUGAAGAGAAAGAUGCCAUCCAGGAGAGCAAACUGAGGCUGGACUCAGCUGUGAAGGGACGGCAAUGAGGAAGGUCCAGAAUCAUUCUGAUGCAGUUUCACUUGCUGUCUGUUUCCAGAGAACUUUUUAAAAGCUAUUUUGUCUUGUCUGGACCAUGAGGUUGUCUUCCUAUGUACCGAGAGCCCUUGCUGGCCAAGGUCUCUGAGACCAGCUGGGUUGGUUAGGUAGCCUUACCUGGCAAUGGAAACAGGUCUACA